GAUGAACGCUGGCGGCGUGCCUAAUACAUGCAAGUCGAACGCGAGAGGAGGGAGCUUGCUCCCUCUGAUCGAGUGGCGGACGGGUGAGUAACACGUAGGCAACCUGCCCAUCAGCCGGGGAUAACUGCGGGAAACCGUGGCUAAUACCGGGUAAUCCUCCCCGCCGCGGGGUGGGGAGUUGAAAGACGGUUUCGGCUGUCGCUGAUGGAUGGGCCUGCGGCGCAUUAGCUGGUUGGCGGGGUAACGGCCCACCAAGGCAACGAUGCGUAGCCGACCUGAGAGGGUGAUCGGCCACACUGGGACUGAGACACGGCCCAGACUCCUACGGGAGGCAGCAGUAGGGAAUCUUCCGAAAUGGACGCAAGUCUGACGGAGCAACGCCGCGUGAGUGAAGAAGGGUUUCGGCUCGUAAAACUCUGUUGUUAAGGAAGAACGCCAGGUAGAGUAACUGCUACCUGUGUGACGGUACUUAACCAGAAAGCCACGGCUAACUACGUGCCAGCCGCCGCGGUAA
Molecule: ribosomal RNA, 514 nt
Filed under: uncultured bacterium
Lineage: Bacteria
Description: partial 16S ribosomal RNA
Rfam family: Bacterial small subunit ribosomal RNA
Source: RNAcentral